AUUGAACGCUGGCGGCAGGCCUAACACAUGCAAGUCGAACGGUAACAGGAAGCAGCUUGCUGCUUCGCUGACGAGUGGCGGACGGGUGAGUAAUGUCUGGGAAACUGCCCGAUGGAGGGGGAUAACUACUGGAAACGGUAGCUAAUACCGCAUAACGUCGCAAGACCAAAGAGGGGGACCUUCGGGCCUCUUGCCAUCGGAUGUGCCCAGAUGGGAUUAGCUUGUUGGUGAGGUAACGGCUCACCAAGGCGACGAUCCCUAGCUGGUCUGAGAGGAUGACCAGCCACACUGGAACUGAGACACGGUCCAGACUCCUACGGGAGGCAGCAGUGGGGAAUAUUGCACAAUGGGCGCAAGCCUGAUGCAGCCAUGCCGCGUGUAUGAAGAAGGCCUUCGGGUUGUAAAGUACUUUCGGCGGGGAGGAAGGUGUUGUGGUUAAUAACCGCAGUAAUUGACGUUACCCGCAGAAGAAGCACCGGCUAACUCCGUGCCAGCAGCCGCGGUAA
Molecule: ribosomal RNA, 506 nt
Filed under: uncultured bacterium
Lineage: Bacteria
Description: partial 16S ribosomal RNA
Rfam family: Bacterial small subunit ribosomal RNA
Source: RNAcentral